UACGAAGGUGGCUAGCGUUGUUCGGAAUUACUGGGCGUAAAGCGCGCGUAGGCGGCUUUUCAAGUCAGGGGUGAAAUGCCAAGGCUUAACCUUGGAACUGCCUUUGAAACUGUUAAGCUUGAGUGUCGGAGGGGAUGGCGGAAUUGCUAAUGUAGAGGUGAAAUUCGUAGAUAUUAGCAGGAACACCGGUGGCGAAGGCGGCCAUCUGGACGACAACUGACGCUGAGGCGCGAAAGCGUGGGGAGCAAACAGG
RNAcentral lists this ribosomal RNA (253 nucleotides) under uncultured bacterium. Its description in RNAcentral is "partial 16S ribosomal RNA". It matches the Rfam family "Bacterial small subunit ribosomal RNA", at positions 524 to 776 of the family's 1533-position model. The record is from RNAcentral.